This 409-nucleotide ribosomal RNA is filed under the name uncultured bacterium. RNAcentral's name for it is "bacterial SSU rRNA". It matches the Rfam family "Bacterial small subunit ribosomal RNA", at positions 354 to 777 of the family's 1533-position model. The record is from RNAcentral.
GUGGGGAAUAUUGGGCAAUGGGGGAAACCCUGACCCAGCAACGCCGCGUGAAGGAAGAAGGUUUUCGGAUUGUAAACUUCUGUCCUAAGGGAAGAAAGAAAUGACGGUACCUUAGGAGGAAGCCCCGGCUAACUACGUGCCAGCAGCCGCGGUAAUACGUAGGGGGCAAGCGUUGUCCGGAAUUAUUGGGCGUAAAGGGUGCGUAGGCGGCCGAUCAAGUCAGGUGUGAAAGACCCGUGCUUAACAUGGGGGUUGCACUUGAAACUGGUUGGCUUGAGUAUGGGAGAGGCAAGCGGAAUUCCCGGUGUAGCGGUGAAAUGCGUAGAGAUCGGGAGGAACACCAGUGGCGAAGGCGGCUUGCUGGACCAAAACUGACGCUGAGGCACGAAAGCGUGGGUAGCAAACAGGA